RNAcentral lists this ribosomal RNA (385 nucleotides) under uncultured microorganism. RNAcentral describes it as "bacterial SSU rRNA". It matches the Rfam family "Archaeal small subunit ribosomal RNA", at positions 330 to 713 of the family's 1478-position model. The record is from RNAcentral.
GCGCAGCAGGCGCGAAUACUUCACACUGUGCGAAAGCACGAUGAGGGAAUCCCAAGUGCUUGCACGUAAGUGUAAGCUGUUUCUCUGUUUAAAACGCAGAGAGAGUAAGGGCUGGGUAAGACGGGUGCCAGCCGCCGCGGUAAUACCUGCAGCUCAAGUGGUGACCGUUAUUAUUGGGCCUAAAGCGUCCGUAGCCGGGCCCGUAAGUCCCUGGCGAAAUCCCACGGCUCAACCGUGGGGCUUGCUGGGGAUACUGCGGGGUCUUGGGGACCGGGAGAGGCGGGGGGUACCCCUGGGGUAGGGGUGAAAUCCUAUAAUCCCAGGGGGACCGCCAGUGGCGAAGGCGCCCCGCUGGAACGGGUCCGACGGUGAGGGACGAAGGCCA